GCCUGGGUGGCUCAGUCGGUUGAGCAUCCGACUUUAGCCCAGGUCAUGAUCUCGUGGUCCGUGGGUUCGAGCCCCGCAUCAGGCU
This 85-nucleotide transfer RNA is filed under the name Felis catus (domestic cat). It matches the Rfam family "tRNA". From Rfam's summary of the family: Transfer RNA (tRNA) molecules are approximately 80 nucleotides in length. Their secondary structure includes four short double-helical elements and three loops (D, anti-codon, and T loops). Lineage: Eukaryota; Metazoa; Chordata; Mammalia; Carnivora; Felidae. The record is from Rfam by way of RNAcentral.